RNAcentral lists this ribosomal RNA (454 nucleotides) under uncultured bacterium. RNAcentral describes it as "partial 16S ribosomal RNA". It matches the Rfam family "Bacterial small subunit ribosomal RNA", at positions 29 to 523 of the family's 1533-position model. The record is from RNAcentral.
AACGAACGCUGGCGGCAGGCUUAACACAUGCAAGUCGAACGCAUCCUUCGGGGUGAGUGGCAGACGGGUGAGUAACGCGUGGGAACGUGCCCUUCAGUUCGGGAUAACCCAGGGAAACUUGGGCUAAUACCGGAUACGUGCGAGAGCAGAAAGAUUUAUCGCUGAAGGAUCGGCCCGCGUCUGAUUAGCUAGUUGGUGGGGUAAUGGCCCACCAAGGCGACGAUCAGUAGCUGGUCUGAGAGGAUGAUCAGCCACAUUGGGACUGAGACACGGCCCAAACUCCUACGGGAGGCAGCAGUGGGGAAUGUUGGACAAUGGGCGCAAGCCUGAUCCAGCCAUGCCGCGUGAGUGAUGAAGGCCUUAGGGUUGUAAGCCUCUUUUAGUAGGGAAGAAGCGAAAGUGACGGUACCUGCAGAAAAAGCACCGGCUAACUACGUGCCAGCAGCCGCCGUAA